RNAcentral lists this ribosomal RNA (488 nucleotides) under uncultured bacterium. Its description in RNAcentral is "partial 16S ribosomal RNA". It matches the Rfam family "Bacterial small subunit ribosomal RNA", at positions 28 to 507 of the family's 1533-position model. The record is from RNAcentral.
GACGAACGCUGGCGGCGUGCUUAACACAUGCAAGUCGAACGCGCCUGUCCUCUGGGUUUCUGGGGGGUGGGUGAGUGGCGAACGGGUGAGUAACACGUGAGUAACCUGCCCCCUUCUUCGGGAUAACGGUCUGAAAGGGCUGCUAAUACCGGGUAUUCACUGGUCUCCGCAUGGGGUCUGGUGGAAAGGUUUUUUUCUGGUGGGGGAUGGGCUCGCGGCCUAUCAGCUUGUUGGUGGGGUGAUGGCCCACCAAGGCUUUGACGGGUAGCCGGCCUGAGAGGGUGACCGGUCACAUUGGGACUGAGAUACGGCCCAGACUCCUACGGGAGGCAGCAGUGGGGAAUAUUGAACAAUGGGCGCAAGCCUGAUGCAGCGACGCCGCGUGAGGGAUGGAGGCCUUCGGGUUGUGAACCUCUUUCGCCCGUGGUCAAGCCGCGACGUGGGUCGUGGUGAGGGUAGUGGGUAAAGAAGCGCCGGCUAACUACGUG